This 433-nucleotide ribosomal RNA is filed under the name uncultured bacterium. Its description in RNAcentral is "partial 16S ribosomal RNA". It matches the Rfam family "Bacterial small subunit ribosomal RNA", at positions 29 to 507 of the family's 1533-position model. The record is from RNAcentral.
AACGAACGCUGGCGGCAUGCCUAACACAUGCAAGUCGAACGAGACCUUCGGGUCUAGUGGCGCACGGGUGCGUAACGCGUGGGAACCUGCCCUUAGGUUCGGAAUAACUCCCCGAAAGGGGUGCUAAUACCGGAUAAUGUCUUCGGACCAAAGAUUUGUCGCCUUUGGAUGGGCCCGCGUUGGAUUAGCUAGUUGGUAGGGUAAAAGCCUACCAAGGCGACGAUCCAUAGCUGGUCUGAGAGGAUGAUCAGCCACACUGGGACUGAGACACGGCCCAGACUCCUACGGGAGGCAGCAGUGGGGAAUAUUGGACAAUGGGCGAAAGCCUGGUCCAGCAAUGACGCGUGAGUGAUGAAGGCCUUAGGGUUGUAAAGCUCUUUUACCCGGGAUGAUAAUGACAGUACCGGGAGAAUAAGCUCCGGCUAACUCCGUG